This 500-nucleotide ribosomal RNA is filed under the name uncultured bacterium. Its description in RNAcentral is "partial 16S ribosomal RNA". It matches the Rfam family "Bacterial small subunit ribosomal RNA", at positions 30 to 523 of the family's 1533-position model. The record is from RNAcentral.
AUUGAACGCUGGCGGCAUGCCUUACACAUGCAAGUCGAACGGCAGCACGGGAGCAAUCCUGGUGGCGAGUGGCGAACGGGUGAGUAAUGUAUCGGAACGUGCCCAGUCGUGGGGGAUAACGUAGCGAAAGCUACGCUAAUACCGCAUACGAUCUAUGGAUGAAAGCGGGGGAUCGCAAGACCUCGCGCGAUUGGAGCGGCCGGUAUCAGAUUAGGUAGUUGGUGGGGUAAAGGCUCACCAAGCCGACGAUCUGUAGCUGGUCUGAGAGGACGACCAGCCACACUGGGACUGAGACACGGCCCAGACUCCUACGGGAGGCAGCAGUGGGGAAUUUUGGACAAUGGGCGCAAGCCUGAUCCAGCAAUGCCGCGUGCAGGAUGAAGGCCUUCGGGUUGUAAACUGCUUUUGUACGAAACGAAACGGCGAGCUCUAAUACAGUUUGCUAAUGACGGUACCGUAAGAAUAAGCACCGGCUAACUACGUGCCAGCCGCCGCAGUAA